GUAGGUGGCAAGCGUUGUCCGGGAAUUAUUGGGGCGUAAAAGCGCGCGCAGGCGGUUCUUUAAGUCUGAUGUGAAAAGCCCACGGGCUCAACCGUGGAGGGUCAUUGGAAACUGGAGAACUUGAGUACAGAAGAGGAAAGCGGAAUUCCACGUGUAGCGGUGAAAUGCGUAGAGAUGUGGAGGAACACCAGUGGCGAAGGCGGCUUUCUGGUCUGUAACUGACGCUGAGGCGCGAAAGCGUGGGGAGCAAACAGGAUUAGAUACCCUGGUAGUCCACGCCGUAAACGAUGAGUGCUAAGUGUUAGGGGGCUUCCGCCCCUUAGUGCUGCAGCUAACGCAUUAAGCACUCCGCCUGGGGAGUACGGCCGCAAAGGCUGA
RNAcentral lists this ribosomal RNA (378 nucleotides) under uncultured organism. Its description in RNAcentral is "partial 16S ribosomal RNA". It matches the Rfam family "Bacterial small subunit ribosomal RNA", at positions 527 to 897 of the family's 1533-position model. The record is from RNAcentral.